UUGCUUGUCACAAUACCUGUUUCUCAUCCCUUUAAGAACAGGAUAACAUCUGUAACAUGAUAUAUUUAGAAAGAAAUUGUUAGGAUGCCAACCUUGGAACAAAGGUUAUGUAGAAGUUGUGUGUAUCCUUAAAA
This is a small nucleolar RNA of Phodopus roborovskii (desert hamster), 134 nucleotides long. RefSeq annotates it as small nucleolar RNA U109. The record is from RefSeq and is a predicted model, not a curated record. NCBI's taxonomy places the organism in Eukaryota, Metazoa, Chordata, Mammalia, Rodentia, Cricetidae. The transcript has a single exon.